CACGUAGGGGGCAAGCGUUGUCCGGAUUUAUUGGGCGUAAAGAGCUCGUAGGCGGCUUGUCGCGUCGUCCGUGAAAACUUGGGGCUCAACCCCAAGCUUGCGGUCGAUACGGGCAGGCUAGAGUUCGGUAGGGGAGACUGGAAUUCCUGGUGUAGCGGUGAAAUGCGCAGAUAUCAGGAGGAACACCGGUGGCGAAGGCGGGUCUCUGGGCCGAUACUGACGCUGAGGAGCGAAAGCGUGGGGAGCGAACAGG
RNAcentral lists this ribosomal RNA (253 nucleotides) under uncultured bacterium. RNAcentral's name for it is "partial 16S ribosomal RNA". It matches the Rfam family "Bacterial small subunit ribosomal RNA", at positions 524 to 776 of the family's 1533-position model. The record is from RNAcentral.